GCCCUCUUGGCUUAGUGGUAAAGCGUAUCACUAGUACUCCAGUGCUAUGAUAAGAUCGCUAGUUCGAUUCUGGCAGAGGGCA
This 82-nucleotide transfer RNA is filed under the name Paraphoma chrysanthemicola. RNAcentral describes it as "tRNA-Thr". It matches the Rfam family "tRNA". From Rfam's summary of the family: Transfer RNA (tRNA) molecules are approximately 80 nucleotides in length. Their secondary structure includes four short double-helical elements and three loops (D, anti-codon, and T loops). Lineage: Eukaryota; Fungi; Ascomycota; Dothideomycetes; Pleosporales; Phaeosphaeriaceae. The record is from RNAcentral.